RNAcentral lists this long non-coding RNA (745 nucleotides) under Anser cygnoides (Swan goose). RNAcentral describes it as "lncRNA (ENSACDG00005003729.1)". The record is from RNAcentral. Lineage: Eukaryota; Metazoa; Chordata; Aves; Anseriformes; Anatidae.
AUAGUUUUGUUAUUGUCGCUGUUGUUGUUGUAUUUCCUUCCCUCGUCCCCCUCACGGGAUAAAAGUGGCGUAGGAAGAAAAACACACACACGCCAUCCCCGUCCGCCUUCCUCCCGAGCCCCUCAGAUUUUAUUCAAGCACCCGACCGCCCCCCUCCUCCUCCUCCUCCUCCUUCCUCCCCGCCUCGCUGCUCCCCGCGGGUUUUCCGCCCGCCCCCGGCCGGGCCCCGCCGUCCCUCUCCCUCACAGCGCCGCCCUCCGGCGACCUCCCCGCCGCGCCCCGGCCCCGACCCCCGCCGCUCCGUCCCCUCACGGCCCCGCUGCCUCAGCGGGGCCCGGCGGCAGGCGGGGCUCCCCCGCGGUGUGAGCCGCCGGGGAAGUGGCCUCAGGCCGCCCGGGCCGAGGCCGGGAGGCGCUGUCGGGAGGUGGCGGCCCGGCCCGGCCCGGCCCGGCCCGACCCAGCGGGGCUGCGGGUCACCUGCCUUCCCCCCGCCCCGGCCUCGCUGAGGGGAAACAGCGCGGGGAAUCGUCGCUGCUGGGCGUGGAAGAUGCGGAAAGGAACGGGGGUGUCUUCUAAAAGGGUGCAACGUGAAAAGAAGAAGCCUACUGCCAGGAUGCGCUCAGGACCUAGAAGCUGGCUGCAGGGCACCUACACUCAGGACCAGUUAAGGAAAUCCAUCUGCUUUCCAGAAGUAACAUUUGCAUCUGCUCAGCACUCUCUGCUUGUGAGAUCAAAAUGCACCUAG